RNAcentral lists this ribosomal RNA (2330 nucleotides) under human gut metagenome. RNAcentral's name for it is "bacterial LSU rRNA". It matches the Rfam family "Bacterial large subunit ribosomal RNA", at positions 14 to 2333 of the family's 2925-position model. The record is from RNAcentral.
AGGGCGUACGGUGGAUGCCUUGGCGAUAUCAGCCGAAGAAGGACGCGGUAAGCUGCGAUAAGCUACGGAGAGGUGCAAGCAACCUGUGACCCGUAGAUUUCCGAAUGGGGGAACCCGGCAGUGGUUAUGCACUGUCACCCAUACCUUUGAGUAUGAGGAGGGCACCCGGGGAACUGAAACAUCUAAUUACCCGGAGGAAAAGUAAUCAAACGAGAUUUUCUUAGUAGCGGCGAGCGAACGGGAAAGAGGCCAAACCGGAGCGGGCAACCGCACCGGGGUUGAGGACAGUCAUCAAGUGUAAAUGAGGUAGAAGAAUCGAGCUGGAAAGCUCAGCCGUAGAAGGUGAAAGCCCUGUAAUCGAAACCUUGCAUACAUGGGACUGUAUCCAGAGUACCACGAGACACGUGAAACCUUGUGGGAAGCAGGGGGGACCACCCUCCAAGCCAAAAUACUGAUAUCGACCGAUAGCGCAUAGUACCGUGAGGGAAAGGUGAAAAGAACCCCUGGCGGGGAGUGAAAGAGAACCUGAAACCGUAUGUCUACAAACAGUCGAAGUCUGUAUAUAUAUCAGGACGACGGCGUGCCUAUUGAAGAAUGAACCGACGAGUUACUGUUGCUAGCGAGGUUAAGUGGAAAACAUGGAGCCGCAGCGAAAGCGAGUCUGAACAGGGCGUUCAGUUAGUAAUAGUAGACCCGAAACCGUAGUGAUCUAUCCAUGGCCAGGUUGAAGCACAGGUAAAAUUGUGUGGAGGACCGAACUCGUGAGCGUUGAAAAGCUUUGGGAUGAGUUGUGGAUAGGGGUGAAAUGCCAAUCGAACACGGAGAUAGCUGGUUCUCCCCGAAAUAGCUUUAGGGCUAGCCUCGAGGUAGAGAGUAUAGGCGGUAGAGCACUGAUCGGGCUAGGGGCCAUACCGGUUACCGAACCUAGUCAAACUACGAAUGGCUAUACUUAUACUCGGGAGUCAGACAGUGAAUGAUAAGGUCCAUUGUCAAGAGGGAAACAGCCCAGAACACCGACUAAGGUCCCCAAUGUUACACUAAGUGGCGAAGGAUGUGGAAUUUCCAAAACAACCAGGAUGUUGGCUUAGAAGCAGCCACCAUUUAAAGAGUGCGUAAUAGCUCACUGGUCGAGAGACUCUGCGCCGAAAAUGUCCGGGGCUAAAGUGUAAAACCGAAGUCGUGUCAUAUGCAGCAAUGUAUAUGGGUAGGGGAGCGUUCUCAUCGGGCUGAAGCAGUACCGUAAGGAGUUGUGGACUGAUGAGAAGUGAGAAUGUCGGUAUGAGUAGCGAAAAGAAUGGUGAGAAUCCAUUCCACCGAAAGCCUAAGGGUUCCUGAGCAACGAUCGUCGUCUCAGGGUAAGUCGGGACCUAAGCCGAGGCGGAAAAGCGUAGGCGAUGGACAACAGGUUGAAAUUCCUGUACCGGUGUGAAUCGUUUGAUCGAUGGAGUGACACAGUAAGGUAGGUCAGCACGCGAUUGGAAGAGCGUGUUUAAGCAGGUAGGUUGAGCUAUAGGUAAAUCCGUAGCUCUAAAAGCUGAGAUGUGAUGACGAGUGACUAGCAAUAGUCGCGAAGUGAUUGAUCCUACACUGUCGAGAAAAGCUUCUAGGUAGAGACACAUCGCCCGUACCAAAACCGACACAGGUAGGCGGGGAGAGAAUCCUAAGGUGCGCGGGAAAACCCUCGUUAAGGAACUCGGCAAAAUGCCUCCGUAACUUCGGGAAAAGGAGGACUCAUGUAGUGUGAAGAGCAGCAACGCAUGGAGCAUGAAUGAGUGGCACAAGAGAGGCGCAAGCGACUGUUUACCACAAACACAGGUGCCUGCUAAAGCGAAAGCUGAUGUAUAGGUGCUGACACCUGCCCGGUGCUGGAAGGUUAAGAGGAGGGGUUAGACUUCGGUCGAAGCUCUGAAUUGAAGCCCCAGUAAACGGCGGCCGUAACUAUAACGGUCCUAAGGUAGCGAAAUUCCUUGUCGGGUAAGUUCCGACCCGCACGAAAGGUGUAACGACUUGCGCACUGUCUCAACGAGGGACCCGGUGAAAUUGAAGUACCUGUGAAGAUGCAGGUUACCCGCGACUGGACAGAAAGACCCCAUGGAGCUUUACUGCAACCUAAGAUUGAACUUAGUUAAUGAAUGUACAGGAUAGGUGGGAGACGUAGAACCUAGGACGCCAGUUUUAGGGGAGUCGCUGUUGGGAUACCACCCUUUCAUUAAUUGAUUUCUAACGGGCCGAGUAACGACCGGCCGGACAGUCUUAGGCGGGCAGUUUGACUGGGGCGGUCGCCUCCAAAAGAGUAACGGAGGCGCCCAAAGGUUCCCUCAGAGCGGACG